RNAcentral lists this ribosomal RNA (502 nucleotides) under Clostridioides difficile. RNAcentral describes it as "bacterial LSU rRNA". It matches the Rfam family "Bacterial large subunit ribosomal RNA", at positions 764 to 1273 of the family's 2925-position model. The record is from RNAcentral. Lineage: Bacteria; Bacillati; Bacillota; Clostridia; Peptostreptococcales; Peptostreptococcaceae.
UCGUGGAGGUCCGAACCCACGAGCGUUGAAAAGCUCGGGGAUGACUUGUGGGUAGCGGUGAAAUUCCAAUCGAGCCCGGAGAUAGCUGGUUCUCCCCGAAAUAGCUUUAGGGCUAGCCUCAAGGUGAGAGAUACGGAGGUAGAGCACUGAAUGUCCUAGGGGGUAUUGCACCUACCGAAGACUAUCAAACUCCGAAUGCCGUCAUCUUAUACUUGGGAGUCAGACUGUGGGUGAUAAGAUUCAUAGUCGAAAGGGCAACAGCCCAGAUCGUCAGCUAAGGUCCCUAAAUGUAAGUUAAGUGGUAAAGGAUGUGGGAUUGCACAGACAACCAGGAUGUUGGCUUAGAAGCAGCCACUCAUUCAAAGAGUGCGUAAUAGCUCACUGGUCGAGUGAUCCUGCGCCGAAGAUUUCCGGGGCUAAAACUUACUACCGAAGCUACGGCAUCAGUAAUGAUGGGUAGGGGAGCUUCCCAUACGGGUUGAAGCAUGACCGUAAGGACAUG